Molecule: ribosomal RNA, 432 nt
Filed under: uncultured marine eukaryote
Lineage: Eukaryota
Description: SSU rRNA
Rfam family: Eukaryotic small subunit ribosomal RNA
Source: RNAcentral
AAAAAGCUCGUAGUUGGAUUUCUGUUGAGGACGGCCGGUCCGCAUUAUGUGCGUGUAUCUGGUGCGGCCUUGGCAUCCUCCAGGGGAACGUUCCUGCGCUUCGCUGCGUGGGACGGUAUUCUGGACUUUUACUUUGAGGAAAUUAGAGUGUUCACGGCAGGCAGUCGCCUUGAAUAUAUUAGCAUGGAAUAAUAAUAUAGGACCUUGAUUCUAUUUUGUUGGUUUCUAGAAUUUAGGUAAUGAUUAAUAGGGACAAUUGGGGGCAUUUGUAUUAACACGUCAGAGGUGGAAUUCUUGGAUUGUGUUACGACAAACUACUGCGAAAGCAUUUGCCAAGGAUGUUUUCAUUGAUCAAGAACGAAAGUAAGGGGAUCGAAGACGAUUAGAUACCGUCGUAGUCUUUACCAUAAACUAUGCCCACUAGAGAUUGGA